Molecule: ribosomal RNA, 520 nt
Filed under: uncultured bacterium
Lineage: Bacteria
Description: bacterial SSU rRNA
Rfam family: Bacterial small subunit ribosomal RNA
Source: RNAcentral
AAUAGAUACCCCGGUAGUCCACGCCGUAAACGAUGAGUGCUAAGUGUUAGAGGGUUUCCGCCCUUUAGUGCUGAAGUUAACGCAUUAAGCACUCCGCCUGGGGAGUACGGCCGCAAGGCUGAAACUCAAAGGAAUUGACGGGGGCCCGCACAAGCGGUGGAGCAUGUGGUUUAAUUCGAAGCAACGCGAAGAACCUUACCAGGUCUUGACAUCCUCUGACAACCCUAGAGAUAGGGCUUCUCCUUCGGGAGCAGAGUGACAGGUGGUGCAUGGUUGUCGUCAGCUCGUGUCGUGAGAUGUUGGGUUAAGUCCCGCAACGAGCGCAACCCUUGAUCUUAGUUGCCAUCAUUCAGUUGGGCACUCUAAGGUGACUGCCGGUGACAAACCGGAGGAAGGUGGGGAUGACGUCAAAUCAUCAUGCCCCUUAUGACCUGGGCUACACACGUGCUACAAUGGACGGUACAAAGAGCUGCAAGACCGCAAGGUGGAGCUAAUCUCAUAAAACCGUUCUCAGUUCGGA